Molecule: long non-coding RNA, 1383 nt
Organism: Manihot esculenta (cassava)
Lineage: Eukaryota; Viridiplantae; Streptophyta; Magnoliopsida; Malpighiales; Euphorbiaceae
Exons: 7
Source: RefSeq, a predicted model, not a curated record
GAUAAAUAUAUGAAUUAGUAAAACACAUAACAUUCAAAAAAAAAAAUAAAAAUAAGACGUAUAAAUAAAAUUAAAUUAUAUACAGCACAAAUGCAAAAGUAAAAUUGAUUAACAAGAGCCGAGUUUUCCCGCCAACCAAACAGUGAGCUGAGCUCUGUACUCCCACUGAUCAUGUUAGCCUACACCACGGUACUUAUCCAUUGUUAAGUGUUAACUACAAAUACGUAUGCGUGAAUUCCCAACAUAUUGUCUUUUGAUUCAUACGGAAACGGUGCACGUUAGUGAAUUCGCGCGAUAGAACAGAAAUAAAGGGAUAAGAUUCCGAUUGAUAUCGAGAUCGGAACCAUCUCUUCCCCAUCUCCGAUCGAUCAUCCUCCCUAACAAGGACAUAUUAGGAGGAGGAGAAUAUGUCUGAAAGAAAGAAGAAAGCUCCUACAUUGGUUGAUCUUUGUGUUGAUGGAGCAAUAGGUAAUGUGAUGUUCUUAGGAGACGUUGGGGAUACAGAUUCACAUCUCCUUGAUCGCAUUUUACCACAUUGUACAGUGGACAGUUGAAGCAUGUAGAGAAGAGAACAGUGUAACUGAUAAGCUUUGGAAAAGGUUCUAUGAGCUAGAGUUUGGUGUGGCGAAUGCUAAUUUUGUAACUGAGAGGAUGAAGAGGUGCAAAGCUUCCUGUCCAUGGAGAGACCUAUAUGAGGGUGAGACUCUUGUAGGCAAAACUGAAGCUUAUUGCUAAGCAGAGGGAAGUUGCUCGAUUUCGGCAACCACACAUAGAAGUAGUCUUUGAUACGCAACCCUAGCAAGUCCGUUUCUGCUCCAAGUUUCCAUCUCCAGGCAGUAAAAGAAACUUCUAUGGAGGAAGUGGACCUGGAUACAAUCUUUCCAGUUUCCAAUGUGAAGGGCAAGUUGAUGAAGAAAUAAAAAAUGGAGUUUCUUUAACUGCCGAGAAGUGAAAAAUAUUGCAGCCAUGAAGAAAAUGUCGAUGCAAAGAAACAACAGGUAAUAUUGUGAGUGUGCCGUUGUAUUAUUGUGUCCACAAUUACACAGUUCAUGUCAUUCUGCAUCUUGCUCUACAGCUGGGGGCUUUCCUGGAAAUAAUUCUGCAUUGUCUUCUAGACACAAUAAGUCAUUUGACAGAAGAUUCUAGAAGCGUGUGAUAUCGGAUUUGCUUUGUUUGCGAAAUGAUGUAUAUGCUCUUAAAUUUGUGAGUUGGAUUUUAGUGGUUGAUAAAAUAGAUUCAAUCGCCGAGAGUCUGAUUCUUGUGUAAGAGAGAGAGAUAGAACUUGCAUCAAUUGCAUCGAAAAAUCAGAGAACAAUUUCUUUGCUGUUCAACGUAUCAAAUUUUUCAAGACGACGUAAUAUAAAUUAACAUUUGAAGACUUUA